AUGAGCAGAAGUUUUUGCUUUUCUGAUUGGGCUGUAGCAGAAAUCAAAUAUAAAGCCAGUAAGCUUGGACUUAAGCUUUGCAUUGAGGGCUGCAGUUCAGGAUUUGGUGAAUUACACAUGGGAGAGCCAUACUCUGUGAUACUUUUUGAGGGAUGUAACAGUAACUGCAAUUACUGCUCUGAAUGCUUCAUCAGUCUGCUACAUGCUGCAGCUGAGAUUAAGACUUGGUUAGCAAGGAUGGGUUUCAGCUCACCCAGCUGGAAACACUUGCCGUGCAGAUGUACGUCAGCUAUGUGCCCUGGCUCUAUAAUCAGCGUGGAGAACUCGUGCUUAGGUCAGAUGGACCUUGCUGACAUGAGGGCCUUCUCUGGGCACAAGGGAAGCCUGCAGCAACUAACUUGGAUAUGGGUACCUUUUCUACCUCACUGCUAGAGAUGCAGUGCCAGCCAUGUCUCACAAGAAGGAAGUUUUCCCAAGCCCUAAAAUAGAAGUAAAUGCCUUCAUUGAUUGGUGGAGAAAGCUGGAGAUUAAUGAUUGGAGGACCCUUCCCCCAGUAGAAAGCAUCGAGGUGAGCAUUGUACAGGAUGGGGACAAAUCACCAUGAAACACUUUGAGAACUCUAUGUUCUCAAAUCAUAUAUGGAUUUUCAGAGUCUCACCUCUGAUUUUAGGAGUUCUAAUGAUUUGUCUUAAGAGAUACAUAUUUCCUGACGAGUAGAUGUUAAGAAUAACCUAGACUGUAGACAGAAAUGGCAUUUGGUAUACAAAAUUAGAUAAGUUUGCAUACAAAUAUGGAAAACUAAGCCCACAGGAAAGCCCAUAGGAAAGGGAAAUGUCUAUACACAGAAGGACGUGUGAGACAGGAAAGUACUUACAGUGAUUUUCCACCUUUGCAGUCAGUCUUAAAGUAGAACAGAGAGGAAGUUUACAGGCACAGGUUACAGUUUACCCCAGCUAAUGUAACAGGUGAUUCUUCCUCAGCUUCCAACUGAAGUCCUUUUUAAUUGCCAGGCAUGUCCUUGAGUUUGUGGAGGAUUAAGAAGCACUUUAAUACAGCAAUGUGAAAUGGGAAGUUGAAGAAAAACACUUUUAGUGGAAAAUUCUUUGUGUGAUUUAUUUUUCUUCUUGACAUAAUUUACUAUUAGAAGUGAAUGACUAAUAAUCUUGAUCUACCUUUCCAUAAAUCUAUAAAUAAAUGUUGAUCUUUGCAGGAGCUCAUGUCCAGCAUUGCCAACAUUACCAUAACAUGGAGCUUCACGCAGGAAGGUAUUUCAUUUGUUGAAGCAUCUGUUUUGAGGACUGGUGACUGGCAAAUGGUAAAAGGAGCUAAGAAAGGGGGACUGCCUAAAGAAAUCUCUCACGCAUGGGCAUACAGUAGACAUUCAACAAACAGUAGCUCGUUGUGUUUUUUUCUCAUCGAAACGGAGGUGUGGAAGCCUACAGGAGUUACACACACUUCUGAGCUGAUUGGAACAUCCUAGGUUCUUUUGCAUAAUGCACAUCUGCUCCCUUUAUUUUCCUUUAUUUAAACGUUGGGAAUUGUACAGUAGCAGUAAUGGCAGGUGAAAGAAUUACCAAACUAACUGAGGUGUGCGUGUUGCAGACUUGUACUGAAGCACGUACAAAUUAAACUUGUAGAACACUGUAUUAUAUUAACGACUAGUUAUAACUACAUAGGAAACCCAACAUCGUUAGUUAUCCAAUAUUAAGUUCUGUUGCUUAACCUGGUUUAUUUCUUAAUCCAUGUGGGAGGAUCUCAGAUUAAGGUGUUUAGAGGAACGUGUGCAGUUCAUAACUUUUUCAACUCGCUGUUAUUGGUAGGUACUUGUUGAUGACCAUAACCAUAGUAGCACCUUCCUAUACAUAAAGCAACUUUAUGCUCAUGGGAAUUAUCCUCUAGCUUUUUAAUGCAGAGUGAUUAAAUGGAAUAGUUUCAGUGUAAAAAUU
Molecule: long non-coding RNA, 1946 nt
Filed under: Pavo cristatus (Indian peafowl)
Lineage: Eukaryota; Metazoa; Chordata; Aves; Galliformes; Phasianidae
Description: lncRNA (ENSPSTG00000016428.1)
Source: RNAcentral